GCAAGUCGCACGAGAACGCUUCAGCUUGCUGAAGUUAGUAAAGUGGCGCACGGGUGAGUAACGCGUGGGUAAUCUUCCCCCGAAUCGGGGAUAACAUUGCGAAAGCGAUGCUAAUACCGGAUGACAUCUUGGGUACCCAGGUAUCUAAGAUCAAAGGUGGCCUCUACAUGUAAGCUACUGUUUGGGGAUGAGCCCGCGUACCAUUAGCUUGUUGGUAGGGUAACGGCCUACCAAGGCUGCGAUGGUUAGCUGGUCUGAGAGGAUGAUC
This 268-nucleotide ribosomal RNA is filed under the name uncultured bacterium. RNAcentral's name for it is "partial 16S ribosomal RNA". It matches the Rfam family "Bacterial small subunit ribosomal RNA", at positions 57 to 305 of the family's 1533-position model. The record is from RNAcentral.